This 222-nucleotide long non-coding RNA is filed under the name Lathyrus oleraceus (garden pea). Its description in RNAcentral is "Pisum sativum (pea) long non-coding RNA (PSAT_LNC005923)". The record is from RNAcentral. Lineage: Eukaryota; Viridiplantae; Streptophyta; Magnoliopsida; Fabales; Fabaceae.
GCAUUUCCCACGGGUCAGCGCACGCCGACCUAUGGUCGACCGCUCGUGCGUAUACUCAGUUUUCUAAGUACUUUCCACUGUUUGAAAAGCUGUUAUUUUUGGUUGGUAAGCUAGUUACUAUAAAUAGAAGUCAAAUUACUUUUAUCAACUAACAUUUGUCAAAUUGAUUUCAAGUGUUCAAGGAAACAAGAAAGAGUGAAAUAGGUGUCCAAGAUUCAUCAU